Molecule: long non-coding RNA, 544 nt
Organism: Catharus ustulatus (Swainson's thrush)
Lineage: Eukaryota; Metazoa; Chordata; Aves; Passeriformes; Turdidae
Exons: 4
Source: RefSeq, a predicted model, not a curated record
UGGCACCGCCCGGCUGGGCGGGAAUUCCGCUCACGGAGGGAGCGGGAAGAGCUUCACCCUCUCCCGAGUACAACGUGGAAAGGUAUUACUCUGAUGCCCACUUUAGGUGGGGACUGACCUUGAUGACAGAGGAGGCUCUUGUCAUCCAAAUCAACACAAGAUUUGUCAUUUCUUGGUAUAUCAAAAUGAAGAAGAACUCACCUAAACAUUAGUUUUGUGUGAAGAUUUGCUGAGGAGUGAAAGAUAAAGCAGACUGGAGAGAGAAGAGAACCAUGGAAUGCUAUUUGUAUGAUGUCAGAAGAGCACCAGAUUUUACUGUUAUCUCUGAUGAAAUGCUGAAGGGCAAGUGCCUCUUGAAAGUCCUUUGAAGCAAAUUGAAUGGAUCCAUGUGCAGUUAUACUACAGAGAUACCAUUUAUAUAAACAGUGAUUGACUUCAGUGGUGAGCUCCUGGAGAUCUUCAUUUAGUGCUGACAGUCCCUGUGAGACUCAGGAGUAAGUACUUUUAGUGAAACAAAUACUUUUUGAAGGGAUUUGACUUCAAA